This is a non-coding RNA of Paramuricea clavata, 80 nucleotides long. The record is from the annotation of a GenBank genome assembly. Lineage: Eukaryota; Metazoa; Cnidaria; Anthozoa; Malacalcyonacea; Plexauridae.
UUGGAAUCGAGGCGGACAAUGUAAUCCAUUGGAAAACUAUACUUAUUUCCAAUGGAUUACAUUGUCUGCCUCGAUUCCAA